RNAcentral lists this unclassified non-coding RNA (204 nucleotides) under uncultured bacterium. RNAcentral's name for it is "contains 16S-23S intergenic spacer region". The record is from RNAcentral.
UCUGCCACCCAACCAAAUCCUCGAUCUCGCCGAACAACCCCACCCUUUCAAAAUCCGAUUUUCCGAUGCCGAAGAAGCGAAAGUCUAUCGCCACCAGCCUCGACGAGGUGGAUCGAACCCUCUACGCGUCGUUUUGCACCGCCGCCAACUCCCUCUCGCAGCUCUACACGCACUCCAUGAACCACCAGAAGCUCUCCUUCAACG